GAGGGAUUUGCUGCAGACUGCAGCAGUUCUUGUGAUGUUGGCAGAACCCCUGGAGCUCCGCUUGCAGCAAUGGUCUGUCUGAACGGAGUGUCUGAAAAGGAGCUGUCAUGGAACGGAGCGCGUGCGCCGAUAACAGCCGCCCAUCCGAGCUGGAUGGCAGCUGACUGCUCUUGGAUCCAUCGCGCACACAUCUGUAGCUGAGAUCCUCCUUUCCAAGCUGCUGCUCCUCGGAGUGCUUCACAGAGGUCAUUCCUCUUUGCAAGGCUCGUUCCCUCCUGCCUUGCAGAUCUCCCUGCCAUUUUCUCCCCUCCUGCAUGUCAGGGCAGCAGGAGGAGUUGCAGCAGUCCCAGGACACGAGUGCACAUGUGCACCACUGCCUUUUUUUUUCACAGGGUGGGAAAACUUUUGGGAAGUGCUGAGAGAUCGCCCUUUUUUCCUGCUCCUGAGGCCAGUUUCCUUCCUCACAGAUUGCAGGUCCCAGGUGGUGCAAACAGCCAGAGCAGCCCAACCCUGCCGAUCUUCCCAAGGCAGCUCCGUGCAUCCCAUGCCACCAGCUCUUCCCUUUGCACUGAGAGAGGAAACUGAGGUACAGGUCCGACCUUCUCCUCUUGCAAAGGAGAUCUGCAGACAGAUGGGUCAAAUACCCCCCAUGCCAGGCAGUAACUUUGCUUCCCUACUGCAGCCAGGAGCCGGGCAGGAGUGCGGCUGGUUGCACUCAGAGCAAUGAAAAGAUAAAUUCAAGCUAAAGCAGUCCACACAUUUCUAUGUUCACUAUGGGAACAGAGGUGUGUGGGUAAAUGCCAAUUUUGCCCCGCUCCUGCUGCACUUCUGCUCGCUUGCUGCAGGUGUGGCAUUCACCCCAAGCACCACAUCGAACCCUUUUGGCUCUGCAGAGGGAGGAAAGGUGGAAUGCGGAGCGUGAGAGGAGCAGCCACCUUUCAGGCCAACAGCUGCUUUGGGGGAUGGGUUGGAUAAAUGUGCAGGGUUUCCAAUCAGCCCCACACACCCCGGUCAGAAGGCUUCACCGGAGCACAGCGUGGGGGAAUGGCUGCUGAUAACACUGCGUCCAUCCCAGACAUCCCCACAAACUUUCCUGGAGGAACCCACACCACCAGAGGGGACCGCAGUGGGUCACAACCUGACCCGACCCCAAAGGGCAGCGAUGCAGAUGGCAGUGGGAAAACCAGGUCGGAGUGCAUUGGAAAGAGCUGAAAGUCAGAGGGAUCUCCUCCAAGCCACCUCUCGCUGCUUUUGGAUGCUAGGAGGAACCAACUCUGCGUUGAAGCACUUGGCACAAGGCAGGACCAAGGUGUGUUCUCCCCAUGCCUCGUGAAGGGGGAGCAGGGAUGUGGCCCACCUGGGAAUUUAGCUCUGGGCAUUAAGGCUUCACCAACGACCAACAGCCCAUCACUGCAUGCUGGCCAGCAGGGUAGCAUCGGGAUGCAUGGGUCACCGAGGGACAACCCCACGGUCUGUGGGUUUUAAGGCAUGAGAUGAGUGGGGAAAAGUGUCCCUGGAAAGGAGAU
Molecule: long non-coding RNA, 1526 nt
Filed under: Gallus gallus (chicken)
Lineage: Eukaryota; Metazoa; Chordata; Aves; Galliformes; Phasianidae
Description: lncRNA (ENSGALG00010026307.1)
Source: RNAcentral